CAAUUUUUUUUUCCGUUGUUGGGUUAUUUUUAGUUAUAACCCAGCUGUUGGGUUAAAUAUGUUUCCCGCUUCACUCUGGUUCAAAUUUUAACGGUCCAGUCAGAGACUCAGCGCGGACAUCAGCGGCAGCCUGCAUGAUUAUGAAAGGUAAGUAACUGUUAAUAUAAUCGUAUGAUGUAUAUAACUGUUAUAACAUUAAGUAAUGUGUCUGAUAUGUUAAUUAUUAUUUUUUAUACAUUAAAAAAAGUUUGUAUUCCCUUUAGUCCGUUUGUUUCCUCCAGAGAAUCAGAUCGAUUGUAAAUGAAUGCUAUUCCUGUUUGUUCGCCAGGAUUAAUACAUUAAAAGAUUAGCUGCAUAACUUUUUAGACAAGUAUUACUUACAGUUAAUAAAAAUGUCUGGUGAAAUGUGAAAGUUUGAUGAAAUCAUUAGAAUUAAACUAGAAAAGCCGCACGGACCAUUUAUCGGAUCGGAUCAGUGAAUGAAGCUGCUGCGCGAGCUGAGCUCACACACAUCAGUCAUGCGACAGACAGCUGACUCCGUGAGAAUCGUUUGAAUGAACCUGCAAUUUUCUGUUAUAAAAGUUCAAAACCCAGACGAAAGAAAAGCGCACAGUCGUGAGACAAUCCGCUCUUUCAGCGGAAAUUUAUACCAGUGCCCCAAAUUUACAUAACGUUACUCCUACAACCAACCUUUAAGAAGGGAGCGUAAAACAGAAGUCAUAUUCGUCUUAGCGCACCAGCACUAAUUAACUGUGGUAAAAGUGUUUUUAUGGUUUAUUCAUAUUGAAUAUUGUCAUGCAUCUAUUAGAAUACCCUAUUAUUACAGCAAUUUCUCUUAUGAAGCUAGAUUCAUUGACAUGUUUUUUAAAUGUGUUGUACUAAAUGUGUUUAUACUUGUGUUUUAGACAAUGGACUUUUUCAUGAAGGAAAAAUUGCAACAAUAGAAUUUCUGCCUGUUAACUGAAACAUUUCAAGGCCUUUGUGCAGAAAUUGUCUUUAAAACCCUUCCUGCCAUCUGCACCAUACCACACAAAUGGAAAAAUGGUAUGCACAUCAUACACGGAAAUGAAGCGGUCCUUCAUUGACAUUCAAACUGUUGGCACUAAUUAGUGCUGUACUUGAAUCACGAGACAAGCCAGAAUCCACACGUCGUGGUGCUUGGUGACCAGGAAAACUCCUCCCAAGUUUUUAUUAUUUUUAACGGGGAGGCGAUGGAACAGGAGAUGAUAUUACAAGCAGUCGAUCUUUGUUUCAAA
Molecule: long non-coding RNA, 1256 nt
Organism: Carassius carassius (crucian carp)
Lineage: Eukaryota; Metazoa; Chordata; Actinopteri; Cypriniformes; Cyprinidae
Exons: 3
Source: RefSeq, a predicted model, not a curated record